This 440-nucleotide ribosomal RNA is filed under the name uncultured bacterium. Its description in RNAcentral is "partial 16S ribosomal RNA". It matches the Rfam family "Bacterial small subunit ribosomal RNA", at positions 338 to 795 of the family's 1533-position model. The record is from RNAcentral.
CCUACGGGAGGCAGCAGUAGGGAAUAUUGCUCAAUGGGGGAAACCCUGAAGCAGCAACGCCGCGUGGAGGAUGAAGGUUUUAGGAUUGUAAACUCCUUUUGUUAGAGAAGAUUAUGACGGUAUCUAACGAAUAAGCACCGGCUAACUCCGUGCCAGCAGCCGCGGUAAUACGGAGGGUGCGAGCGUUACUCGGAAUCACUGGGCGUAAAGAGUGCGUAGGCUGGGUAAUAAGUCAGAUGUGAAAUCCUGUAGCUUAACUAUAGAACUAUAUUUGAAACUGUUAAGCUGGAGUGUGGGAGAGGUAAGUGGAAUUCUUAGUGUAGGGGUAAAAUCCGUAGAGAUUAAGAGGAAUACUCAUAGCGUAGGCGAGCUGCUGGAACAUUACUGACACUGAGGCACGAAAGCGUAGGGAGCAAACGGGAUUAGAUACCCCUGUAGUC